GUGUGUGAGAGUGUGUGUGAGUGUGUAUGUGUGUGAGGAAGAAUGGCUGUGUGCCUCGCUGACUGUGGCCAAGUGCCAUGGCUGAUUCACAGCAGGAAACUAGUGAGUGUCUAAACGGACAGAAAAAUAGAUGGAUGGAUGGACAGAUGAUGGGUAACUAGAGAAUGUGUGGGGAAGGGGGAGAACCCUUGGCUCUGGGCUCUGAUCCUAGUGAUGGGGGCUGUAGAAGGUGGGUUAUGAGCUCAUUGAAUGUUUAUGAGGCCCAAGCAAUUUUUAAUCACCCAAAGUUGACAACUGGCCUUCUCCGGGGGCUGGAGUGAGGGCAGGGUGUGGAGGAGCACAACUGUCACCUCUGUGGAAGGCAGCCGUCCCCGCCACAGGCAAUGGCCCCUUCAGCCGCAGUGUGCUGCUCACCGUACCUACCUGCUGCUCUCAGAUGCCGGAGGCUGAACUAAGGCUCUUCUUCCAGGUCUGAGGAUUCCCACCGUCUGGGGAAGGACUCUGAAUGGACAGGCCCAGGCAGGAGGGCCUGGAGAGGACCCAGGAGAGGCUGCCUCCCGAGGCCCCUCUGUCCACAGUGAGGGUCCUCCCACUCCACAGCUGAAGGCCACUGUCUGGGGGCUUAGCCAGGAGGUAAAGGGUUAAGCAGGCCUCUUCUGGGGACUGGCCCCAGCCUGCAUUCCUUCCUGACAGAGACCUGCCAGUCCGGGGCCAGAGGCUAAAUUUAGAGGGUGGCUAAGGUUUCCUCCUAACAGCUGACUUGCUCCUCAGAGAAGUUGCCCAAGAGAGGAGAGAGCUUGGUCUUUCUCACUGGACGCUGUUUCUGGACAUUCCAUCUGGGUCCUGGGCUCUUGGUGUGGACACCCAGGCCGGCUGGUGGAGCUGGUGGCUGACAUGGCGUCUGGUGGGGACCUAGAGGGAGAGCAGUUGGUUCCAGAUGAGGAGGACGGAGCCACCAUGUGGGCAGUGCAGGCCCACUACCUUCGCAAUCACUUCCCCAGCCAUUAUCUUGAAAGGCAUCUGAAGCAGUAGAUGUGGGUGAACAUCCAGAGUGCACAUGGCGAUUUCCAGUGUGACUGCUGAAAGGUUUGCAGCAGGUGCAACCUGUCAUAUCCGUAGUCAAGGAAGACACACAGUGGAACACAAUCAAAGAAGGAAAGAGAAAGAGGAGAAGAACGCAGAAAGAGCAGGACAAAGAAUAAGGAGAAGAUGGGAAGUAGAUUUAAACCCAGACACAUAAAGCAUGACCUUACACUUGGAUAGACUAAAUACUCCAAUUAACAACCGAAGAUUGUCUGGCUCCAUUUCUCUAUAAAAACCUACCUACCAUUUAUAAGAGUUAUGCCUCAAAAAUAAAGGGACACAAAGAUCGUGGAGAGUGGGAAACUUAUGCUGCAGGGUUUCAGUCCCUUUUGACUUCACCAUUCAGUGAUACAGAACAGCCAUCCUCCACAAUCACCAUGAGGCCCCUGGACAAGGCACACUGGCCAGCUAGUGUCUGCUGUAGGUUGUGAGACCUCAAAUGGGAAGAUCUCAAGGGUGACUUUAGGCUGAGGGUGACUCAAGAGCUGGGGGCUGGGACCACAGAGGCCUCUCUGGACGAUGGGCAGUUUGUGUUAUGGCUUACCAGGGCUGUUGGCCCGAAUCCUGAGGACGGCCUUUCCGCGGCGAUCACUCUGGGCUUCCUCAGAGCACAUUGCUGAUCCAAGGGCUGUGUCUGAAAGAAUGGGCCACAGGGCAUCAGCUGUGUGUGGUCUAGACUCAGCAGUCACACAGUGGCACUUCUACUGUGCUCCACCACCACAGGGUCCACAUGGUCCAAGGGGAGGACCACAACUCCUCCUGUCUACCUGUUGGAAGAGGUGCCAGGGUCACAGAAAGAGUGGGAUGGGCACUCUGUGGCCAGUGGAAAACCCAAGCUGCCAUAACUGAAAUCACCGGCAGAAGGCCAGCCAGCGAGGCGGCACCGAGAGCAGAUGUUAGGGCAAACAUCCCUGGACACAGAGAGGGACCCUUCACAGGAAUGGAAGAGCAUCGUUUUAGAUAUCUGUGAUCUAAUGACAUCCUCAGGUUACACACAGCAAAAACCAGCAGAUUCAGGAAAAAAAUCAAAGUCUGCAGCUUUGCAAAUAUAUAUUUUUAAAAAUCACUAGAUUAUAGAAGAGCGGUGAAUAUCUGUGAGGGGCUCAGGAGGCGGAGGCAGGAGGGUCACAAGCCCAGCCCAGCCUGGGCAACACUGUGAGCGCCCAUCCCGAGGAAAAUACAGAAAGUCUGAACAAACAAUAAAGAAUCUAGCCUGGCCGGCACGGAUAGAGUGUGUGCCCAGCAACUGCAGGGGACAGGCUCUGAUCACAGGUGUGUGGAGUAUUUACCAAAAUAGAUCAUAUACUGGCAAUGCAUAGAUCCACAAACUUCUCUGACCAUGGGAAAAUCAAGGUGGAAAUCAAUAAAAACAGGAAAUAAAGAUUAACAGUAAAUCACCAAUCAGAACCACUCUAUGCCACCAGCAUACCUAAGACUGAAGAGUGACCACAGCCACGAUAGCACUGUGAGGCUAUAGGACCCCCAGUCGCUGCCAGUGACAGGGGCUCGGACACCGGUUUUCACAGUUCCUACUGAAGCUGAGGACAGCUGAGCCCUGGCCCAGCAGGCUGUUCCGGCAUGCACUGACCAGGAGUCAUGCCACGUGCCCUCGCCAAGGAUGUGGGUGUCCAACAGCAGGAUGGGCUGCCCAUGGACGUGGAAGGAUAAAUACAGUGGCAUAGAUUCUUGAGUAAUUCCCUGGAGAACAUGCAUGUGUUGAGCCGCCUGUCACUGGUGAGACUAGCUCCUGAGAGCAUUG
Ictidomys tridecemlineatus (thirteen-lined ground squirrel) is the source of this 2842-nucleotide non-coding RNA. Lineage: Eukaryota; Metazoa; Chordata; Mammalia; Rodentia; Sciuridae. The record is from RefSeq and is a predicted model, not a curated record.